This is a long non-coding RNA of Symphalangus syndactylus (siamang), 6224 nucleotides long. RefSeq lists it as uncharacterized. The record is from RefSeq and is a predicted model, not a curated record. NCBI's taxonomy places the organism in Eukaryota, Metazoa, Chordata, Mammalia, Primates, Hylobatidae.
ACCUGUGGAAAGGGCGUGGAGCCUCCACUCUGCCAGUCUUUACCUGUAGCGUUGCCUUCUUGAACCACAGAUGUUGGGGACCUGGCACAGUUCUCUGGGCAGUGUCGUUUUCUAGAUGAACUGAAGACUGUAGCUGAAAAACGUGAAUCUCUUCUUUGCCAGGUCCUACGGCAGCAGAACCCCAGGAGAUGCGGCAGCCCACACAGACAAGCUCGUGUUUAAGAGUCAGAUUUGCCCUCUCUCUAGGUGCUCUGGCCAUCUGCUUUUGCUCCCCUUUCUCUGUGGCCAAAGCCCUACUCUGGAAAUUUCCAUCAUUGGUGGUCGUGUGUCGGUCACAGCACACUGGGUUCACUCCAUGGCCUCAUCCUUGGGUAGUGACUUCCCACCCGUCCAGUGCUCCUCUCCAGCCUCAGUCACCAGCAUCUCCUCCUUGGAUUAUUGCAAUGACUCCUAAGCAUCAGCAUUAAGCAUCAACACAGAUGAAUCUUCCUCCUACAGACAUUAGAUCAUGUCACACCGCUGCCCAGAACCUCCCAGUGGCUUCCAGUAUCAUGUAGAAUAAAAGAAAAGUCUUUCCCUGGGCCUCUCUUGAAAAAACUCAUAAUCUAACCAUUUAUCCACUUGUCCCUCACUGUCUCCUGCUACUUUACCCUUCACCCCGUUCCCACUGCACCAAACACACCACUGUUUGCAUUUCUGCUGGAAUGCUCUUCCCCUGGAGAUCCACAGACUCAUUCUCUCACCUGUUUCAAGCCUUUGCUUAAAGAACACUUUAUCUUUUUUUUUUUUUUUGAAAUGGAGUAUCACUCUAUUGCCCGGGCUGGAGGGCAGUGGGGCGAUCUCAGCUCACUAACCUCUGCCUUCGGGGUUCAGGCGAUUCUCGUUCCUUAGCCUCCUGAGUAGCUGGGAUUACAGGUGCGCACCACCAUGUCCGGCUAAUUUUUGUGUUUUUAGUAGAGAUGGGGUUUCACCAUGUUGGCCAGGCUGGUCUCAAACUCCUGACCUCAGGAAAUCUGCCCGCCUUGGCCUCCCAAGUUGCAAGGAUUACAGGCGUGAGCCACCAUGCCCGGCCAUAAACACUUUUUCUAGUGAGGCCUUCUCUAGCCUAUUUACUCUGUUUAAUUCUCUCUGUUUAUUCCCUGUUUAAGCCUCCUCCCCGCUCCCAGCACUCUCUACUUCCCUUCCCCACCUCAUGCUUCUCUGCAGCCCUUCUCAUGUUCAGAAGUAGCCUAGAAUUUAUUUAUGUGCACGUAUUCACUUUCCCAUUAGUAAACCCAGGAAGGCAGGAGUCUCCUGUGUUCACUGCUCCGUCCCCAGUGCAGGGUGUAGGACAGGUGGUUAACAGCGUUUAUGGCAUGGUUGGAUGAACCUGUAUGUAUCUCACUUUGGUCCAGGGUCCAAGCAGGUGCUGUCACCAGGGAGCAGCAAGGAAUGUCACAACCAGUAGGACACCACCUGCCUCACCCACCUGCCAAGCUGAUUGAUGGCUUUAUGGAUGACUUAUAGGGUUGCUUUUGGCUGCCUUCUGGUGGGACCACCUCUCUUCCCCACCCUCUCCAUCCCAAACGUGCUUUUCCUCUUCUCAUGUUUCCUAUUUUGGGGACAGGUACCACUAUUCAUUUUGUGUCUGCAGCUAGAAAUGGGGCACCCCUUACCUCCCCUCCGCUCACAUUCAUCAAGGCCUUUUGAAUCUAUCCCAUAAAUAUCUCCAUUGUCAGCCACCCUCUAUUCCCAUUGCCCUCACCACUAGUGCCUCCUGCGUUUGGAUCCUGACCACUGCUUUCCCACUAGCCUCUCUGGUGGCUCAUCUGCAACCAGAAGAUCUGCCCCUGGUGCAAAUCCUGUUAGGUCACUCCUCCUCUGCCUUAACCCCUCAGUGGCUCCCCUGUUCUGCUGCUUGAACUUGUCUGAGGAUCUGCCCCUGUCGACUUUGCCAGCUCUGUUCAUUCCAACUCAGUCACUACCCUUUGGCCAUAGGAGCUGCUGGCUGUGCUCCAGACUUUUUCUUACUGUUCCAUCCCUGUGCCUCUGCACAAGCUGAAACCUGCACCUCCGUGUCCUCUCCUCAUUACACUUGAAGACAGCUCAGGUGUCACUUCCUUCAAGAAGCCAUAAUUUUUUUUUUUUUGUUUUUUUGAGACAGAGUCUCACUGUGUCACCCAGGCUGGAGUGCGGUGGUGCGAUCUUGGCUCACUGCAACCAUCCUACACCCUUUGGGCUUAAGCGAUUCUUUUGCCUCAGCCUCCUGAAUAGCUGGGAUUAUAGGUGCACACCAUCACACCCAACUAAUUUUUGUAUUUUUAGUAGAGACAGAGUUGCGCCAUGUUGGUCAGGCUGGUCUUGAAUUCCCGAUCUCAAGUGAUCUGCCUGCCUCUGUCUCCCAAGUUGCUGGGAUUACAGGUGUGAGCCACCAUGCCCAGCCAGGAAGCCAUCUCUUAAACCUGGGAUGAAUUGAGGCAUUUCCUUUGUGGUUCCCUUGUCCCCUGGGCUUCCCUGUGUCCUGGACCUGACUGUCAUUCCAGUGUCUGCCUAAACCACAGUGGAUGCUCAGUAAUAUUUGUUGAAUGGACUGGAUUUUCACUGCCUGUUUAUUUGCCUACAAAAAAUCAGUGAUUAAAAAAAUUUGUUCAGCAUAUACCUUUUGAGGACCUACUGGUGCCAAACACUGACUGCGGUGCUGGGGAUACUGCUGUGGGCAAGAGCAACAGAGCCUCACUCUCGAGGAGGCAGGGGUGGGUCCAGCCCACCUUCGGGUCCCAGGAUGCAGCACGGGGCUGUGUGCAGAGUGCAUAUGCUCUCCGUACUGAUUGAAUAAAUACAGGAACAUUGGCUGACUGUUGGACAACGGUACGCUCAAUCCUUCACCCCAUUCUCCCUUCCAUGAACAGGCUUUCUUUUUUUCUUUAAUCUCAGAAGGUUAUGGGAAUAGAAACAGCCAUGGUGUCAAGAAUACUGACAUUCAUUGAGCAUUUGGGCAGGUCCUUUGACAUUGCUGAGCUCAUUUCAUUUUCCUCUCCACCUUGCAAGGCAGGACUUUGUCUGAUUUUCCAGAUGGAGGGAAUUGAGCCUAAGAACGGUGACUUGCUCAGGUGUGGCAGCCAAGAGGAACAGCUGGUAUUUUAAUGUAGUUUUUUCUGAAGCCAGAUUUUAUUCUGUCUGUACAAUUGCAGAAUGAGAUGUUCAGAACCACCUUGGCCUCCAAGAGUUGAUAGUAAGUGGAUUUUAAAUGGAAAGGCUCCAUCUGAAGCCUGGCAGAACAGCAUAACAGUUAAGAGCACACUCCUUUUUAACUUGGAUGGACUUCAGUUCCUAAUUCCUGUUGCAUCUUGCUGUGUAAUUUCGGGCCAUUUAGCCUCCUUGAACCUCAGUUUUCCAGUCUGUACAAUGGUAUGGUGAAACCUACCCGCAGAAUGCCAUUUUAAGGAUUUGGUGACAUAAAGAUGUCAAGUGCUUUGCAGGGUAUGCGGCACACAGUAGGUGUUUAAUAUCACUGAGAUGCUGGCUGGGACAGUGGGGUGUGGUGUUUCUUGCAUUGCCAGUACCCGUCUCUAGAGGGAAGCAGGAGCCAAAGAAAAGGGCCCUUGGGCUGUCCCCAGUGGGCUGUGAGUUUCAGGUCUCUAGGGACCCCACAGCACUUUGAUCAGAAUAAGAAAGAUCAGUGAGGUCAAACAGGAAGUCGUCUGGAGAUAGGGGAGCCCUUAGGAGUCUUUCAGCACAGCAGGGGAGACUGGGACCCAGAGACAGAGAAACAGUGGGGUCAAGGCGAAUAAGGGGUGCUUCUUGUAGCAAAGUGAAUAGGUGUCCAGGAGUGGCGGGGACAUUUUCUGUUUUAGUACAGAAAAAUUACUCCCUCCUACCCUUAGGUCUAACCUAAGCUGCAGCUGGCAGAGUGGACAGGAGGCUGUCUGUGAUGUCACAGAGUGAGGGAACUGGGGAAUACUGGGGACAGUGGGGUUUGGAUUGAACCACCAAGGCAGGGAGGAGGGAGGACAUAUGCUGAACCCCUCCCCAGCAGUCCAUCCCUUUGUCCACCAUGCCGUAAUGUCCACUGUGCCUAUCAGGAGGGGGAUGUUGGUGAAUUCCCGACUGCUGCCGCCUCCUCUCCUGUCCUGGCAUCUGUGCUAUUGUGGCAGAAGCCAGCCCCAGAGUGGGCUGCAGAUUCUCCCAGUGUGAUUAGAUGGGGCCCACCCAGGUAAUUGUGAAUUAUCUCAAGGUCGCUGAUUAGCAACCUUAAUUGUAUCUUCAACUUUAAUCUUUUGCAGUGGGGUCAUAUUCUGUCUACCACAGUGUUUAAACACUUGUAUCAAGAAAAUAAAAGAAUGAAAUAAUUUCCCAAUUCUAAAAGCUGGAAAAAGAACAACAAAGUAAUGAAAAGGAUGUAUCAGAUUGAAAGCAGAAUUUACUAGAGUAUUAAAAAGCAGAUCUAAUUAAUCAAAAUCUUUUUUUGAAAAAAAUUAACAAAAUAGAAAUACUAUGUAGCUUAAUCAGGAAAAAAAGGAGAAGGCACAAAUACAUAAAAUUAGAAAGAAUAAGGGGGAAAUAAUUGUUGAAACAAAAGAAAUUUUAAAAAUCUUGAGAGUCCAUAAUAUACUUUUAUGUAAAAAAGCUUGAAAAACUAUGAAGUAGAUAGUUUUCUGGGAAAAUACAGUUUAUUAAAUUGAUUGCAUUAAAGAUAGAAACUAUCAAUUUCUGUAGAGGAAAUUUAUUAAGCAACUAUCCUCCCCCAAAUAGGCAACAGGUCCAGAUGGUUUCACAAGGAGAGUUUCACCAAGCUUUUAAAGACCAGUUACAGUACUACAUAAAUUGUUCUAGAACAUAUAAAAUAAAACUUCCAAAUUCUUUUCGUGAAGCAAGUGUAUAUUGAUAACCACAUGUGAUAGGGAUAAUACAAAAAGAAAAUUACAAGGCAAUGUCACCUACCAAUACGGAUACAAAAGUUCUCAGUAAAAUAUUAGUGAACAGAAUCCAACCUCAUAGUAUGAAGAUAAUAAAUCAUGGUCAGGUGAAAUUUAUCUGUGGAAUGGAAGUUUGAUUCGAUAUGAGUAAAGAAACUGUGAUUUUUUUCUUAUAGAUGCUGAAAAAAGAAAAAAGAGGGAAUUGAUGGAUAUUAUAUUAAUAUGAUAAAAUGGCACUCUCUCUCUCUCUCUCUCUCUCUUUAUUUCUACCUCUAUGCCUUUGUCCUAAACCCAGCUUCUUCCUUAAUUUGCAAAUACUGGAGCUAUUUAAAAUCAGGAACGAAGCACAGAUAUCUACUAACUUUAACAUUGUAGCGGUGGCAUUAACCAUUGCAAUCAGAAAAGGUAAAUCAGAGACAUAAAAAUUAGAAGAAGAAGAAAUUAAAGUAUUUCUACCUGCAGAUUACAUAAUAGUAUUACUGGUAAACCAUAGGAAAGCAAAAACAAAACUGCUCAAAAGGUGAAAGAAUUCAGAGGGAAGCAAGGCGUACAAUUAGCACACUGAACUCAAUAGUGUUAUUAUAUGUAAGCAAUAACUAACUACAACAAUAGUGAGAGAGAAAACUUCAUUUACAAUAGCAACAAAAGAUAAAAUACUUAGGAGUAAAGUUAAUAAGAAAUUUGCAAAAUUAAUAUAAAGAACACUUGAAAAUAGUCCUGAUAGCCAACAAAGUAGGUUUGAACAAAUGAAAAGCCACUGGUUGGUGGCUAGGAAGAAUCAAUGUUAUAGAUGUGUCAGUUCUUCCUGAUUUAUAAUUUUCCCUAAUUUGUAAAUUUAGCACAAUCGUGAUGAAAAUAACAUCAAGAUUUUUUCUGAAGCUAGACAAAUUGAUCCCAACAUUUACAUGAAAAAACAAGCAAGAAUAAAACAGGCAGACUCCCCAGUGGAGUAGAAUAGAAAGUUCAGAAAGAGACACAAAUAUAUAUGAAAAUUUAGUAUAUGAUAAUAAAGGUGUCAUCUCAGAUGGAUGAUUGGACCAAAGAUAUUCUCCUUAAUAAAUAUGCUGAAAUGACUAUAUAAUCAUUUGGAGAAAGUGUAAAGUUAGAUCCAUACUCCCUAAAUACAUAAUAAUAAAUGCCAAAUGGAACAGGUUAUACUUCUAAUGUAUAAUGCCAUACAGGCAAACGAAGAACUGUGGGUAAAUUCCUCUAUAAACUGGAUGUAGGGAAAGGCUUUCUAAUGACAACCCAAAGUCCAGAUUCAAUGAAACAUUAAUAAACUUGACUUUGAGGAGCUAGUAUUUCUAGUAUAUAAACAGCACUCAAAAA